This 268-nucleotide non-coding RNA is filed under the name Virgibacillus chiguensis. Its description in RNAcentral is "T-box sequence". It matches the Rfam family "T-box leader". Rfam says of the family: Uncharged tRNA acts as the effector for transcription antitermination of genes in the T-box leader family. T-boxes are found upstream of many aminoacyl-tRNA synthetase genes and some amino acid biosynthetic genes usually in Gram-positive bacteria. The anticodon of a specific tRNA base pairs to a specifier sequence within the T-box motif, and the NCCA acceptor tail of the tRNA base pairs to a conserved bulge in the T-box antiterminator hairpin. The record is from RNAcentral. Lineage: Bacteria; Bacillati; Bacillota; Bacilli; Caryophanales; Bacillaceae.
GAUAAAUUGUUGCGUAAGAGAAGUAAGCAUAGCAGAAGCAUUGAAGAGAGCUAGCGGUGGUGGGAUGCUAGCAUGUGGACUCUUGCUGAAUGGACUUACAAGAGGUUUCCUGAAAAAACAAGUAGGGAAACACGGAGCUCCGCCGUUAUACGGAUAGAAUAUCGGAUAGGUGGUUCCGUUUACCGAAUCCUCUCUCCUGUAUUCGAAUAAAGAUAAAAAGCUUAUGCUUUUUAACAGAGGUGGCACCGCGGUUCCAAUCGUCCUCUAC